This is a long non-coding RNA of Thalassophryne amazonica, 112 nucleotides long. RefSeq lists it as uncharacterized. Lineage: Eukaryota; Metazoa; Chordata; Actinopteri; Batrachoidiformes; Batrachoididae. The record is from RefSeq and is a predicted model, not a curated record. The transcript is spliced from 3 exons.
AAUCAACAAAUGCAGAGGAAUUGUAGAAUGUAGUCCAAUCGUCCUGGGCUGGAGUACUUGUUCACAGGUGCCAGACGUUGGUCGACUCCAUGCAACACAAAUUGUUUCCAUU